This is a long non-coding RNA of Panicum virgatum (switchgrass), 2076 nucleotides long. RefSeq lists it as uncharacterized. The transcript is spliced from 2 exons. The record is from RefSeq and is a predicted model, not a curated record. Lineage: Eukaryota; Viridiplantae; Streptophyta; Magnoliopsida; Poales; Poaceae.
UGUAAUAUUUCAUUUUGUUUGCGGAAUGAUGAUGCGUUUAGCGUUCUAUUGUUGAUGCGCCGGUGAAUCAUUGUGUAUUUGGAAGUUGUGCUUGAAAUUUUUGGUAUUUAUAUCUACACGUUUAGUGUAUACAUCUGGAUAUUAUGCUAAACCGUACAUGAUGGUAAUUAGUAUAUCAUGGCAAACCUGAUGAAAUGUUCACAGGGGAGAUUUGGUACUUAAUUCAUGAGUCAUAACAAAGGCAUUCCUUUGGUAUAUUGGUUAUUCCACUAGUAUGAAACAUGUUCAGCCAUAUUGUAAUGAUAGGUUCUGAGAGAGAUAAAGAAACGCGGUCUUUAUUCAUAUUGAUUAGCCUGAAUUCUGAGGUACAGAAACAACGAAUGUUUAUCAGUUGUAGUUUUCUAUUUUCAUGUAACUACUUUGCCUGUGGUAUUCUCAUUUCUUUUCCUGCUUUGCUGCACAAACAAGCUUAAGAAGCAGAUGAUCUUCUUUUCUUUUGCCUAUUACUUUUGUUUUGUAUCCAAAGGUUCCUUUGCUUUUUGCAUGCAUGAUAUAUGAUUCUCUAGCUGGUUAGCUAUCUAUGCAUCUUUGUUUUAUAUCCUCACAUGUUGUCGUGGAACAAAGUUAUUGCACCCAAUUUUGCAUUCAAAAGGUUUAUCGAUACAUGCCACUUAAUAUGUGAUUUAUAAAGCAGAGCUAUGUCAGGAAUCCAAAGCAGUACAGGAAAAGCAUAUAGUGUUCCUUCCCUUACAUGUUCAUUUGUGUGGAUUAGGUAUUUCCUGCAUUAGCAUACUCAAUCUUCGUAUUUGGUCUUUCAAGUUGCUGGUAACAAAGCAUGGUGGGGUGAUUUAUAUCACUCUUGGUUUCAAGAAUUUUAAUUGUUGCUGAGUCAAAAAUGAGAAUUGAAGAAAAAAUUGGUUGGUUUAAAUGCUGGAAAUCAAAUGGUGGGUAUUUGAUAAGCUAGGUUGAAAUGGAUUGUUUUUUGUUUGGGCCAAUCUUGACAGAAUAUUAUUUUCUUGGGUGUCAAAGCCAUUGAGAGUUUUGUUCUCCUUAGGUCCAAACUGUGAACUGUAUUGGGCCAGAAAAUGUUUUGAUUGUGCAGGUACAGCUUUCAGUGCCACCUGCUAUGAGCUAUGUGCAAGUUAUUGGUAAUAUACUGAGAUGAUAGUGGUUUGUUUAUCUUGGAUUGAUCUUGGUUAGGUACAAAUAGUAUAUUGGGCCAGAAAUGUUUUUGAUUGAGCAGGCCACACUUUCAGUGCCAUGUGGGAUGAGCUAAGCACACAUUAUCGGUAAGACACUAAGAUGACAGUGGUUUUGUUGUCUUGGAUUGAUCUUGGUUCCUUCAAUUGGGUUGGUUAGUAGUUCUUGUUGGCUGUUGCAUGUAGGACUUGGGUCAUAUUUCAAUUUAUUACCAGUAAAGAUUGCUUGUUUGACAACUGUUCUGUUUGUCAGGAGGUGAGUGAUUGUUUUGGUUGUAUCUAAGUAUUAUUCUUGUCUCUGCACUUAGACCACCAUCAUAUGUGUUAUUCUAGAUCGCAAUUGGUUCUUCAUUUUGCUCUACUCUCAGCUUUAUUUUGUCUAAAAAAAUAUAUUCUUCGAAGGAAAAUUUCCACAUCAUGUACCAAGAAACGAUGCUACUCAAACUGAUGAUGAGGAAAGCUAAUCCACUGAUGCUACUUUACCAAUCUACCCAGGGCUCCAAGAGGUGGCAGCUCGGAGCUGUGAAACACCACUGAUGGUUGUACAUAUGGUUGUACAUAUAGAAGCUAGGGAGCCCAGCAACAAUGAAUCCCCCCUCUUUCAUUUAGUCGCUGGAAUAUGAUGCUUGCGCACUGCCAGGCAAAAGCCACGAAUGUAAUUCUUUGUAUUUCGCAGAACCCGGUGCGCGAGCACCUGAACAUGGGGGUGUUUCCCUAUAAUGGAAGAUUCUCAGUAGCUGCGAUGCUUGAUGUAAUAGUCCUAGUACCAUGUUUUUCCUUUUGAAUAAAAACAUGCGCUGGGCUUGAACCGUUGCGGCACAUGACAGGUAUCGAUGUGUAACGUCCAUUUGGUUGCUGUGUGUUCUUUCGUACUUAA